GAUGAACGCUAGCGGCAGGCCUAAUACAUGCAAGUCGAGGGGUAACAGGGAAGCUUGCUUCCGCUGACGACCGGCGAACGGGUGAGUAACGCGUAUGCAAUCUGCCUUACAGUUGGGGAUAGCCUGGAGAAAUUCAGAUUAAUACCCUAUAUGACCACACUGAUGCAUGUCAGAGUGGUGAAACCUCCGGGGCUGUAAGAUGAGCAUGCGUGACAUUAGCUAGAUGGUAAGGUAACAGCUUACCAUGGCGACGAUGUCUAGCUGGUCUGAGAGGAUGAUCAGCCACACUGGAACUGAGACACGGUCCAG
Molecule: ribosomal RNA, 309 nt
Filed under: uncultured bacterium
Lineage: Bacteria
Description: bacterial SSU rRNA
Rfam family: Bacterial small subunit ribosomal RNA
Source: RNAcentral